RNAcentral lists this ribosomal RNA (254 nucleotides) under uncultured bacterium. Its description in RNAcentral is "partial 16S ribosomal RNA". It matches the Rfam family "Bacterial small subunit ribosomal RNA", at positions 524 to 776 of the family's 1533-position model. The record is from RNAcentral.
UACGGGGGGAGCAAGCGUUGUUCGGAUUUACUGGGCGUAAAGGGCGCGUAGGCGGUCAGCACAAGUCAGUUGUGAAAUCUCCGGGCUUAACUCGGAAAGGUCAACUGAUACUGUGCGACUAGAGUGCAGAAGGGGCAACUGGAAUUCUCGGUGUAGCGGUGAAAUGCGUAGAUAUCGAGAGGAACACCUGCGGCGAAGGCGGGUUGCUGGGCUGACACUGACGCUGAUGCGCGAAAGCCAGGGGAGCGAAUGGG